RNAcentral lists this ribosomal RNA (594 nucleotides) under Halobacillus sp. SYMS-2-3-2. RNAcentral's name for it is "bacterial SSU rRNA". It matches the Rfam family "Bacterial small subunit ribosomal RNA", at positions 439 to 1025 of the family's 1533-position model. The record is from RNAcentral. Lineage: Bacteria; Bacillati; Bacillota; Bacilli; Caryophanales; Bacillaceae.
UCAGGGAAGAACAAGUACCGUGCGAAUAGAGCGGUACCUUGACGGUACCUGACGAGGAAGCCCCGGCUAACUACGUGCCAGCAGCCGCGGUAAUACGUAGGGGGCAAGCGUUGUCCGGAAUUAUUGGGCGUAAAGCGCGCGCAGGCGGUUCCUUAAGUCUGAUGUGAAAGCCCACGGCUCAACCGUGGAGGGUCAUUGGAAACUGGGGAACUUGAGGACAGAAGAGGAGAGUGGAAUUCCACGUGUAGCGGUGAAAUGCGUAGAUAUGUGGAGGAACACCAGUGGCGAAGGCGACUCUCUGGUCUGUUUCUGACGCUGAGGUGCGAAAGCGUGGGUAGCAAACAGGAUUAGAUACCCUGGUAGUCCACGCCGGAGACGAUGAGUGCUAGGUGUUAGGGGGCUUCCACCCCUUACUGCUGAAGUUAACGCAUUAAGCACUCCGCCUGGGGAGUACGGCCGCAAGGCUGAAACUCAAAGGAAUUGACGGGGGCCCGCACAAUCGGUGGAGCAUGUGGUUUAAUUCGAGCAACGCGAAAACCUUACCAGGCUUGACAUCCUUGGACCUCCCUAGAGAUAGGGACUUCCCUUCGAGAG